This 400-nucleotide ribosomal RNA is filed under the name uncultured bacterium. RNAcentral's name for it is "bacterial SSU rRNA". It matches the Rfam family "Bacterial small subunit ribosomal RNA", at positions 355 to 752 of the family's 1533-position model. The record is from RNAcentral.
UGAGGAAUAUUGGUCAAUGGGCGGAAGCCUGAACCAGCCAUGCCGCGUGAAGGAAUAAGGCCCUAUGGGUCGUAAACUUCUUUAGACGCAGAGCAAUAAGGUCCACGCGUGGAUCGAUGAGAGUAUGCGUAGAAUAAGCAUCGGCUAACUCCGUGCCAGCAGCCGCGGUAAUACGGGGGAUGCGAGCGUUAUCCGGAUUUAUUGGGUUUAAAGGGUGCGUAGGCGGCAAGGUAAGUCAGCGGUGAAAGACCAGGGCUCAACUCUGGAAGUGCCGUUGAUACUGUCUGGCUAGAAUGAUUCCGCCGUGGGAGGAAUGAGUAGUGUAGCGGUGAAAUGCAUAGAUAUUACUCAGAACACCGAUUGCGAAGGCAUCUCACGAGGGGUUCAUUGACGCUGAGGC